Molecule: ribosomal RNA, 481 nt
Filed under: uncultured bacterium
Lineage: Bacteria
Description: SSU rRNA
Rfam family: Bacterial small subunit ribosomal RNA
Source: RNAcentral
AGGAUGAACGCUGGCGGCGUGCCUAACACAUGCAAGUCGAACGCGCUCCAUUCGGUAGCAAUACUGAUGAAGAGCGAGUGGCGAACGGGUGAGUAACACAUGAGCAACCUGCCCCGAAGACUGGGACAACACCGGGAAACCGGUGCUAAUACCGGAUAUCCCUAUCGGACCGCAUGAUCUGAUAAGGAAAGUUUUUCGCUUCGGGAGGGGCUCGUGGCCUAUCAGCUAGUUGGUGAGGUAACGGCCCACCAAGGCAUCGACGGGUAGCUGGUCUGAGAGGACGAUCAGCCACACUGGGACUGAGACACGGCCCAGACUCCUACGGGAGGCAGCAGUGGGGAAUCUUGCGCAAUGGGCGAAAGCCUGACGCAGCAACGCCGCGUGGAGGACGAAGGCUUUCUGAGUUGUAAACUCCUUUCAGCAGGGACGAUAGUGACGGUACCUGCAGAAGAGCACCGGCCAACUACGUGCCAGCAGCCGA